RNAcentral lists this ribosomal RNA (253 nucleotides) under uncultured bacterium. Its description in RNAcentral is "partial 16S ribosomal RNA". It matches the Rfam family "Bacterial small subunit ribosomal RNA", at positions 524 to 776 of the family's 1533-position model. The record is from RNAcentral.
UACGUAGGGGGCGAGCGUUGUCCGGAUUUAUUGGGCGUAAAGAGCGUGUAGGCGGCCAGGUAGGUCGGUUGUGAAAACUGGAGGCUUAACCUUCAGACGUCGACCGAAACCAUCUGGCUAGAGUCCGGAAGAGGAGAGUGGAAUUCCUGGUGUAGCGGUGAAAUGCGCAGAUAUCAGGAAGAACACCCGUGGCUAAGGCGGCUCUCUAGUACGGUACUGACGCUGAGACGCGAAAGCGUGGGGAGCGAACAGG